GACGAACGCUAGCGGCGUGCCUAAGCUAUGCAAGUCGAGCGGGGUUUCAGAGUCGAGUUUCCUUCGGGAGACAAAGCACUGAAACCUAGCGGCGAACGGGUGAGUAACACGUGAGCAACCUACCCUGUUGUCCGGGAUAACAGACCGAAAGGCCUGCUAAUACCGGAUACGAAGCUCCUUCGCAUGUUGGAGCUUGGAAAGGGGCAACCCGCAAUGGGAGGGGCUUACGGCCUAUCAGCUAGUUGGUGAGGUAACGGCCCACCAAGGCGACGACGGGUAGCCGACCUGAGAGGGUGACCGGCCACACUGGGACUGAGACACGGCCCAGACUCCUACGGGAGGCAGCAAGCGGGAAUCUUGCACAAUGGGCGCAAGCCUGAUGCAGCGACGCCGCGUGAGGGAUGAAGGCCUUCGGGUCGUAAACCUCUGUUGAUGGGGACGAAGAUCUGACGGUACCCAUCGA
RNAcentral lists this ribosomal RNA (463 nucleotides) under uncultured bacterium. RNAcentral's name for it is "bacterial SSU rRNA". It matches the Rfam family "Bacterial small subunit ribosomal RNA", at positions 28 to 485 of the family's 1533-position model. The record is from RNAcentral.